UCUGAUAACCAGAGGGCUAAGUCCCUGCAGCAACCAAACUGUGCACGAAGGCUGGAAUAUCUAACCAAUGUGAGGGGAAACUGAGGCAGCAGCUGGUCUGAAGGCAGUCUGGUUACAGUGGUGAAUUUUGAAUUGAAGACUCGAAAAAUGGACACAUUUUUUAAGAAAAGAGAUUCUGGCACCGCCAUAUCUACUUUCAGUGAUGAAGCUGACCAUGAAGUCGAACUGGAAGUGUUGGAGGUUGGGCAGAGGAGUGAAAGACCAGCUGGGAAACUGAGGCUGAGUGGCUCUUCUACUGCACAAUGCCACAAGGGAGUGCUCUGAUUAAGGAAUCAUCCAGACCUACUUGAAAGGAGCUUCUUGCCUCAACACUCUUGCCAGUUGCCAUCUCUGCUACAAGAGUCACAGAAAUCUGUUACAAUUCAGUAAACAUACAGCUUCUGUGAGAACAAUCCCAUGUUUCUGCCUCUUGCACACCUGCUCCUCAAAUUAUAGCAAACAGAAGUCAACGCCCAGGAUUUUUGCUGCCUGGACUACAGAAAAGUACGGUGUCCCAUUAAGGAGAUGGGACGCUCCCCUUUCUAUCGGCAUAAGACCCUUUCAGCACUGAUGGAUCAUGAGAGAAUCAAUCACUAGUCCUGAAAUGGCCAAUGUAUUUUUGGGACACGAAAUUCCUUCUUUUCUGAGGAAAUGAAGAAGAUAUUUCUCUGGCCUAUUUUAUUUUUUCAAACGGAAAAGGCAGUUGUCUCCAUUUUACAGCAUGGGGGUCAGGAGACUGGUGACUGUCCAGAAGAGGGAGGAGGCCUGGUUGAAAACUUUUUAAAACGUCUUUUUAGAAGCAGGGAGACAUCCCCGAACAAAGUCACAGUCGCUAAAGAAGAGACAGUCAAGACACUGCAGCAAUCCUUUUAUGAGAGGCAACACAGCAUCAGAUAGAAAGCAUUUGAAACAUCUAAAGAAAUCAGAGAUUUCCUUUCAAACAUCAAGUGGAUGGACUGAGCUGACACCAAUUAUGAUGUUCAAUGGUAUUAGCAGAAUGGCUUAAAUUUUGUCCUCAACUGUUCAUCCCGCCAACGAGCAAUAAGGAGUUAACAAAAACAGAUGUUUUGCAUUGUUCUUUGGCUAUUUUGAAAGAACUUCCUGUGCCAAGAUUUUCUGAUAACUUCUGAAUGGAUUUGGAAGGGCAGCCAAAAAAGCCUUUGCUUGCUUUCUUCAUAAGGAGAAACAAUUAAAGACCACUAACAGUUCCCCAUAAAGUACAUAUGAGUGUGAAUUAAAAUCCUAGGUAAGUGCAGUUUGCCUGAAUAAAAACACUUCACUGGGGUUUUAAGGAUUUAUUUUUUCCUAUUAAAAAUAUACAGACCUUUAAAGCCAUGCUGGGACUUUCUGAAACAUCUAGAACAACUGAGGAGUCCCCUGACCAAAUGGUAAUCAUUCCCUCUACGGGAACUCCAAACGAGAAGAAGGUUGACAAAUAUUCUAUGAAUUUUAAGAUAAAACCAUUACUUUUUAGCUUUGACUUCAUUUUAGUAAAUCACUAAUGCUCCAUAGUCUGCUAUGCAGAGUUAAAUAGCA
Long non-coding RNA from Mauremys mutica (yellowpond turtle), 1575 nucleotides. RefSeq lists it as uncharacterized. The record is from RefSeq and is a predicted model, not a curated record. Lineage: Eukaryota; Metazoa; Chordata; Testudines; Geoemydidae. The transcript is spliced from 6 exons.